GCAGGCCUAACACAUGCAAGUCGAGGGGUAACGAUGGCUUCGGCCAGGCGACGACCGGCGCACGGGUGAGUAACGCGUUUGUAACCUACCUCUGUCUGGAGAAUAGCCCGAAGAAAUUCGGAUUAAUGCUCCGUAACACCAUGAUGAGGCAUCUCGUCAUGGUCUAAGCUCCGGCGGUCAGAGAUGGACAUGCGUAACAUUAGCUUGUUGGUGAGGUUACGGCUCACCAAGGCUACGAUGUUUAGGGGGUCUGAGAGGAUGGUCCCCCACACUGGUACUGAGACACGGACCAGACUUCUACGGAAGGCAGCAGUGAGGAAUAUUGGUCAAUGGGCGAAAGCCUGAACCAGCCAUGCCGCGUGAAGGAGGACAGCCCUACGGGUUGUAAACUUCUUUUGUACGGGAAGAAACACUUCUACGUGUAGAAGCUUGACGGUACCGUACGAAUAAGCAUCGGCUAACUCCGUGCCAGCAGCCGCGGUAAUACGGAGGAUGCAAGCGUUAUCCGGAUUCAUUGGGUUUAAAGGGUACGUAGGCGGAAGAUUAAGUCAGUGGUGAAAUCCUGCAGCUUAACUGUAGAACUGUCAUUGAUACUGAUCUUCUUGAAUAUAGUUGAGGUAGGCGGAAUGUGUAAUGUAGCGGUGAAAUGCUUAGAUAUUACACAGAACACCGAUUGCGAAGGCAGCUUACUAAACUAUGAUUGACGCUGAGGUACGAAAGCGUGGGGAGCGAACAGGAUUAGAUACCCUGGUAGUCCACGCUGUAAACGAUGAUCACUCGUUGUUGGCGAUAUAGUGUCAGCGACUGAGCGAAGGCAUUACGUGAUCCACCUGGGGAGUACGAUCGCAAGAUUGAAACUCAAGGGAAUUGACGGGGGCCCGCACAAGCGGAGGAACAUGUGGUUUAAUUCGAUGAUACGCGAGGACCCUUACCUGGGCUUAUAUGUAGAACGACGGAUCGGGGAAACUGAUCCUUGACUGCGUCCGCUACUGCAAGGUGUGGCAUGCCUCUCGUCAGCUCGUGCCGUGAGGUGUCGGGUUAAGUCCCAUAACGAGCGCAACCCUCAUCAUUAGUUGCCAGCGGGUAAUGCCGGGGACUCUAAUGAAACUGCCGGUGUAAACCGAGAGGAAGGUGGGGAUGACGUCAAGUCAGCACGGCCCUUAUGUCCAGGGCUACACACGUGUUACAAUGGUCGAUACAAAGGGCAGCUACCU
This 1214-nucleotide ribosomal RNA is filed under the name uncultured organism. RNAcentral's name for it is "bacterial SSU rRNA". It matches the Rfam family "Bacterial small subunit ribosomal RNA", at positions 42 to 1255 of the family's 1533-position model. The record is from RNAcentral.